This 492-nucleotide ribosomal RNA is filed under the name uncultured bacterium. RNAcentral describes it as "partial 16S ribosomal RNA". It matches the Rfam family "Bacterial small subunit ribosomal RNA", at positions 29 to 507 of the family's 1533-position model. The record is from RNAcentral.
AGUGAACGCUGGCGGUAGGCCUAACACAUGCAAGUCGAACGGCAGCACAGUAAGAGCUUGUUCUUACGGGUGGCGAGUGGCGGACGGGUGAGGAAUACAUCGGAAUCUACUUUUUCGUGGGGGAUAACGUAGGGAAACUUACGCUAAUACCGCAUACGACCUACGGGUGAAAGCAGGGGAUCUUCGGACCUUGCGCGAUUGAAUGAGCCGAUGCCGGAUUAGCUAGUUGGCGGGGUAAAGGCCCACCAAGGCGACGAUCCGUAGCUGGUCUGAGAGGAUGAUCAGCCACACUGGAACUGAGACACGGUCCAGACUCCUACGGGAGGCAGCAGUGGGGAAUAUUGGACAAUGGGCGCAAGCCUGAUCCAGCCAUACCGCGUGGGUGAAGAAGGCCUUCGGGUUGUAAAGCCCUUUUGUUGGGAAAGAAAAGCAGCAGGUUAAUACCCCGCUGUUCUGACGGUACCCAAAGAAUAAGCACCGGCUAACUUCGUG